RNAcentral lists this ribosomal RNA (468 nucleotides) under uncultured bacterium. RNAcentral's name for it is "partial 16S ribosomal RNA". It matches the Rfam family "Bacterial small subunit ribosomal RNA", at positions 28 to 507 of the family's 1533-position model. The record is from RNAcentral.
GACGAACGCUGGCGGCGUGCUUAAUACAUGCAAGUCGAACGGAGAGGCCCUGCUUUUGUGGGGUGCUCGAGUGGCGAACGGGUGAGUAACACGUGAGUAACCUGCCCUGGACUUGGGGAUAACUUCAGGAAACUGUGGCUAAUACCGGAUAGGAGCACCUGCUGCAUGGUGUGGGCUGGAAAGUUUCGGCGGUUUGGCUUGGACUCGGGGCUUCUCAGCUUGAUGGUGGGGUAGUGGUGUCCCAAUGCGUUGACGGGUAGCCGGCCUGGGAGGGUGACCGGCCACAUUGGGACUGAGAAACGGGCCAUAGUCCUACGGGAGGCAGCAGUGGGAGUUAUUCCACAAUGGGCGGAAUCCUGAAGCAGCGUCGCCGGAUGCGGGAUGACUGCCUUAGGGGUGUAAACCGUUUGCGCCUGUGACGAAGCGUGAGUGACGGUAAUGGGUAAGGAAGCAACGGCUAACUACGUG